AUUGAACGCUGGCGGCAGGCCUAACACAUGCAAGUCGAGCGGAAGAAGGGAGCUUGCUCCUGGAUUCAGUGGCGGACGGGUGAGUAAUGCCUAGGAAUCUGCCUGGUAGUGGGGGAUAACGUCCGGAAACGGGCGCUAAUACCGCAUACGACCUGAGGGAGAAAGUGGGGGAUCGACAGACCUCACGCUAUUAGAUGAGCCUAGGUCUGAUUAGCUAGUUGGUGGGGUAAAGGCCUACCAAGGCGACGAUCCGUAACUGGUCUGAGAGGAUGAUCAGUCACACUGGGACUGAGACACGGUCCAGACUCCUACGGGAGGCAGCAGUGGGGAAUAUUGGACAAUGGGCGAAAGCCUGAUCCAGCCAUGCCGCGUGUGUGAAGAAGGUCUUCGGAUUGUAAACCGCUUUUAGUUGGGAAGAAAGGCUGUAAGCUAAUACCUUGCUGUGAUGACGUUACCAGCAGAAUAAGCACCGGCUAACUUCGUG
This 484-nucleotide ribosomal RNA is filed under the name uncultured bacterium. RNAcentral describes it as "partial 16S ribosomal RNA". It matches the Rfam family "Bacterial small subunit ribosomal RNA", at positions 30 to 507 of the family's 1533-position model. The record is from RNAcentral.